CCCCCUUGGCUUCUCGUGCUGGUAGCGGACGGCUGCUCUGCUCUGCGCGCGCACGGCAUGUGCUCGAGAGAAUCCCUCAGAGGCUUGCUUACCACCAUGCGUGGCUCUGUUUAGGAUCUUGGCUUCGUAUCUGUGCACUGCUGGUACUAGUAACGUCGCCCUCGCAUGGGCACGAGCUUGUUUAUGUUGUAGUACGAGCAGUACUGUUCUGGCGGUUCGUGAUUCGGAGCUACGGCUUUCUAAUGGCGUCAGCUGCCUUUUUUUUGGGGUUUCGCGUGGCCAUACAGGAGAAAGGAGCAGACUUGAGCGGCCGCAAAGGUGUGAUUAGGAGAGAGAGUGAGACUGGGAGGGGGAGGGGACGGUGUUUAGGCUAGUCAUAGUGGGAGUAACAUAGGUAGUAACAUAGAUGCCACAUAAGCAAAAAUGUUGAUGUGGCAAGUAGUUAAUGAGGAGAGAGGCAAAUAGAGUAACCUAAUAUGUUACCAUCACAUAGCGCUUUUCAAUGCAAAAUGAGUCUACAAGACAAUAAAUGAACAUGUGUAUGUUACUACACAUAUGACACUUCCCACUAUAAGGGUGGUAACAUAGAGUAGUAAGUAUGCAUGUUACUACUCUAAGUUACUCCCCACUAUGACCAGCCUUAUGGUGCCAAAUCCAGGCGAAAGCAGCGCAUGACUGAUGCCGUAGCUACAAGUUCCAAGUGAAAUGAUGCGUGCGUAGACAAUGAAAGGGUCGUCGGGUCGUCUUUCCGGCUUCUACUGCCGUGACUGAAAAAGGCAUACAAAUAGGAAAAUUAUAUUACACAAUGAUUUUAUAUGAUUUUAAUGUAAUCAUAAGUUUUUUGUGUUCCUUUCUUUUCCGCAAAUAUGGAAAGCUUGUGUGUCAUUCAUUGAUAGAAGGAAACGUAAAGAGUACAUAAAAAGAUACAACACAUGGCACGAACGCAUACAUGAAAGGUGUGUGCAUGAUACUCGGAGCAGAGAGACAAGGGGUGCUCAACCCGAACAAAGAAGAAAAAACACACAGCUAAACCCACCGAGCCUAGGACUAAUGGG
Molecule: long non-coding RNA, 1055 nt
Filed under: Triticum aestivum (bread wheat)
Lineage: Eukaryota; Viridiplantae; Streptophyta; Magnoliopsida; Poales; Poaceae
Description: long non-coding RNA (TAES_LNC026269)
Source: RNAcentral